GAUUUUCCCACUUAUUCAGAUAUAAUCUGGUACGAUGUGGAAGUAACAGAAAAACUUUCAACGUUUCUUCAUGUGAAUCGGGACAAAGAAUCUGGAAAAUUCAUUUGGAGAUGACGUAACCGUCUAUAAAAUAUUCUACGUUUACGAAACACACUUGCUAUAAACUAAAAACAUUUUCAUAUCUAAAUUCCAUUUGCUCAUUUAAAAAUAAUAAUAAACAAGAGAAAAAUCAAGACGGUAUGGCCGGUCGACCAAGAACUGUGAUAUGUUAUAUAUGUGGCCGGGAAUUUGGUACACAAUCUAUCGAUAUCCACGAACCACAAUGUUUAAAAAAAUGGAAAUUACAAAACAGUCAGUUACCAAAGAAGGAACGUAGACCCUUGCCAGUCAAACCACAAGUACUGCCGUUGAGUGGCAAUGACUGUUACGACAUUGACUUACGAAAUCAAGCUGCUUGGGAGAGUAGUCAGGCAGCUCUGGUUCCCUGUGACGUUUGUGGAAGAACAUUCUUACCAGACAGACUUGCAGUACAUCAGAGAAGUUGCAGACCCAAGAAGGUACGAAUUAAAGUGUGAUGGCAAUAUAUGUAUUAGAUCCGGGGCAAUGGGUUAACAGAAAUUUUGGAGCGUCAGACAAAUGACUUUUGCUAUUCGAUUACGAUUACUUAAGUUCUUAGUUCAAAUUCCACCAAGGUCAGCUUUGUCUUAUCCUUUUUGAGUCGAUAAAGUAAGUACCAGCCUAGUACUAGAUUGAUUUAAUACAUUAUACCCUUCUCCCAAGUGAGGUCUAAUACCUACGUUAGAAAUCAACAUAUAAGAAUGUUCAGUACAACAUGCACCAGCAUGACCGCAGCCACUUGGCUGAAACACAUAAAUAAAUAAAUAAAAUAAAUAAAUAAUAAAAAAAUA
Long non-coding RNA from Octopus bimaculoides (California two-spot octopus), 908 nucleotides. NCBI's taxonomy places the organism in Eukaryota, Metazoa, Mollusca, Cephalopoda, Octopoda, Octopodidae. The record is from RefSeq and is a predicted model, not a curated record.